This 594-nucleotide ribosomal RNA is filed under the name Staphylococcus sp. Its description in RNAcentral is "bacterial SSU rRNA". It matches the Rfam family "Bacterial small subunit ribosomal RNA", at positions 57 to 634 of the family's 1533-position model. Lineage: Bacteria; Bacillati; Bacillota; Bacilli; Caryophanales; Staphylococcaceae. The record is from RNAcentral.
GCAGUCGAGCGAACGGAUAAGGAGCUUGCUCCUUUGAAGUUAGCGGCGGACGGGUGAGUAACACGUGGGUAACCUACCUAUAAGACUGGAAUAACUUCGGGAAACCGGAGCUAAUGCCGGAUAACAUUUGGAACCGCAUGGUUCUAAAGUAAAAGAUGGUUUUGCUAUCACUUAUAGAUGGACCCGCGCCGUAUUAGCUAGUUGGUAAGGUAACGGCUUACCAAGGCAACGAUACGUAGCCGACCUGAGAGGGUGAUCGGCCACACUGGAACUGAGACACGGUCCAGACUCCUACGGGAGGCAGCAGUAGGGAAUCUUCCGCAAUGGACGAAAGUCUGACGGAGCAACGCCGCGUGAGUGAUGAAGGUUUUCGGAUCGUAAAACUCUGUUAUUAGGGAAGAACAAAUGUGUAAGUAACUGUGCACAUCUUGACGGUACCUAAUCAGAAAGCCACGGCUAACUACGUGCCAGCAGCCGCGGUAAUACGUAGGUGGCAAGCGUUAUCCGGAAUUAUUGGGCGUAAAGCGCGCGUAGGCGGUUUCUUAAGUCUGAUGUGAAAGCCCACGGCUCAACCGUGGAGGGUCAUUGGAAACU